ACAGCGGCAGCCAAAAAGGAGAAAUCGACUACUACUACUACUACGGAGGUCGGCGCUCUCGUCGAAAAAUUCCUCCGGAAGGCUGUUGGAUGGUACCCAGAGCAAACGAGGUCACUUCGAUUCUGGAUACAGCAUAAGCGAUGGAAGUUUCGAUUGUAAGCGUUGGUCCCAGGAGGAUCCGCACGAUAGUAAUGGACCCUAUUCGCCCAAAUGGUCGCCCAUUCCAAUGCAUACAGGCUUCAGUGGGAAACCACCACCAGCUUCAGUUGCACCAACAGCAGCAAGAGCUACAGCUGGUCGUUCUAAUGUUGUUCCUCUGUCUGUUAGGUCUGCUCAAUGACGAAAGCCACAGUUGUGGAGCCAUAAUAGGUUCGCUUGGGGAGCACACAUCCCGCUGCAGGAUCAGCACGAAAGAAAGAAGCAGUCGAAUAAGGCCGACAUUUCUCCAGAAGGUGAUUUGACACUUGGUAGUGUCCGAUGGAAAGAUGUGAACGUUAGGAAAUAUCCAACCUUAUAGCACCAACACUAACAUCCCCCUACGCAUGUCGCGUUACACCUGAAUAUUCCAUGCUUCUUAUUCAAAAAGUAAUAAAGUUUUGAUAAAACUCUUAAAUAGUUUUAAGAAAUACGACGUGCAUGACUAUUCGAAU
Toxorhynchites rutilus septentrionalis is the source of this 650-nucleotide long non-coding RNA. RefSeq lists it as uncharacterized. NCBI's taxonomy places the organism in Eukaryota, Metazoa, Arthropoda, Insecta, Diptera, Culicidae. The transcript has 3 exons. The record is from RefSeq and is a predicted model, not a curated record.